This 342-nucleotide unclassified non-coding RNA is filed under the name soil metagenome. RNAcentral describes it as "partial contains 5.8S ribosomal RNA, internal transcribed spacer 2, and large subunit ribosomal RNA". The stretch from base 1 to 119 matches the Rfam family "5.8S ribosomal RNA", at positions 35 to 154 of the family's 154-position model. The record is from RNAcentral.
GAUGAAGAACGUAGCGAAAUGCGAUAAGUAAUGUGAAUUGCAGAAUUCAGUGAAUCAUCGAAUCUUUGAACGCACAUUGCGCCCGCCAGUAUUCUGGCGGCAUGCCUGUUCGAGCGUCAUUUCAACCCUCAGGCCCCGCCUGGCGUUGGGGAUCGGCGCGGCCCUCUCCGGGCUGCCGGCCCCGAAAACUAGUGGCGGUCUCGCUGUAGUCCUCCUCUGCGCAGUAGCAACGCUCGCACUGGAACUCGGCGCGGCCACGCCGUAAAACACCCCACUUCUGAAAGUUGACCUCGGAUCAGGUAGGAAUACCCGCUGAACUUAAGCAUAUCAAUAAGCGGAGGA